ACGAACGCUGGCGGCGUGCUUAACCCAUGCAAGUCGAACGGAAAGGCCCUGCUUUUGUGGGGUGCUCGAGUGGCGAACGGGUGAGUAACACGUGAGUAACCUGCCCUUGACUUUGGGAUAACUUCAGGAAACUGGGGCUAAUACCGGAUAGGAGCUCCUGCUGCAUGGUGGGGGUUGGAAAGUUUCGGCGGUUGGGGAUGGACUCGGGGCUUAUCAGCUUGUUGGUGGGGUAGUGGCUUACCAAGGCUUUGACGGGUAGCCGGCCUGAGAGGGUGACCGGCCACAUUGGGACUGAGAUACGGCCCAGACUCCUACGGGAGGCAGCAGUGGGGAAUAUUGCACAAUGGGCGGAAGCCUGAUGCAGCAACGCCGCGUGCGGGAUGACGGCCUUCGGGUUGUAAACCGCUUUCGCCUGUGACGAAGCGUGAGUGACGGUAAUGGGUAAAGAAGCACCGGCUAACUACGUG
Molecule: ribosomal RNA, 467 nt
Filed under: uncultured bacterium
Lineage: Bacteria
Description: partial 16S ribosomal RNA
Rfam family: Bacterial small subunit ribosomal RNA
Source: RNAcentral